GGUCUUGUAGUUAAGUGGUAAUAACAUCGGAUUGUCUCUCCGAAGUCGUGGGUUCGAUUCCCACCUAGACCG
This 72-nucleotide transfer RNA is filed under the name Agathobacter rectalis. RNAcentral's name for it is "tRNA-Asp". It matches the Rfam family "tRNA". Rfam says of the family: Transfer RNA (tRNA) molecules are approximately 80 nucleotides in length. Their secondary structure includes four short double-helical elements and three loops (D, anti-codon, and T loops). RNAcentral also lists the same sequence under 4 other names. Lineage: Bacteria; Bacillati; Bacillota; Clostridia; Lachnospirales; Lachnospiraceae. The record is from RNAcentral.